UGCGGUGAUGAAGGAGUAAUUAAUCUCGUUAAUCUGAGAUUAACAUGAGGAUAAUCUCUCUAUCCAUUCAAAUUAUACUGAGC
Molecule: small nucleolar RNA, 83 nt
Organism: Mangifera indica (mango)
Lineage: Eukaryota; Viridiplantae; Streptophyta; Magnoliopsida; Sapindales; Anacardiaceae
Product: small nucleolar RNA U30
Exons: 1
Source: RefSeq, a predicted model, not a curated record